Molecule: ribosomal RNA, 918 nt
Filed under: uncultured Campylobacterota bacterium
Lineage: Bacteria; Pseudomonadati; Campylobacterota
Description: bacterial SSU rRNA
Rfam family: Bacterial small subunit ribosomal RNA
Source: RNAcentral
AGCAUAAUGAGAGUACUUCAGGAAUAAGGGACGGCUAAUUACGUGCCAGCAGCCGCGGUAAUACGUAAGUCCCAAGUGUUACCCGGAAUCAUUGGGUGUAAAGGGUUCGUAGGCGGAUAAUUAAGUUGGGUAUUAAAGACCGAGGCUCAACCUCGUGUUUGUGCCCAAAACUGAUUAUCUAGAAUUAGGGAGAGGUAAGUGGAAUUCUGUGUGUAGGGGUGCAAUCCGUAGAUACACAGAGGAACACCAAAAGCGAAGGCAACUUACUGGAACUGUAUUGACGCUGAGCAACGAAAGCGUGGGUAGCGAAAAGGAUUAGAUACCCUUGUAGUCCACGCCCUAAACGAUGAUAACUAAGUGUUGGGACUAGAUCUCAGUGCUGAAGCUAACGCAUUAAGUUAUCCACCUGAGGAGUACGGUCGCAAGAUUAAAACUCAAAGGAAUAGACGGGGACCCACACAAGCAGUGGAUCACGUGGUUUAAUUCGAUAAUAAACGGGGAACCUUACCCAGACUUGACAUCCUAGGAAUUCCAAAGAGAUUUGGAAGUGCUUUUAUUAGAACCUAGUGACAGGUGCUGCAUGGUUGUCGUCAGCUCGUGCCUUGAGGUGUUCGGUUAAGUCCGUUAACGAGCGCAACCCAUGUCUCUAGUUAUUAUGUCUAGAGAGACUGCCUUGGUUAACAAGGAGGAAGGUGUGGAUGACGUCAAAUCAGCAUGGCUUUUACGUCUGGGGCUACACACAUGAUACAAUGGUAUGUACAAAGGGCUGCAAUAGAGCAAUCUUGAGCUAAUCCUAAAAGCAUAUCUUAGUCCGGAUUGGAGUCUGCAACUCGACUCCAUGAAGUUGGAAUUGCUAGUAAUCGUGAAUCAGAUAUGUCACGGUGAAUAUGUUCCUGGGUCUUGUACACACCGCCCGUC